CCCUUAGAUGUCCUGGGCUGCACGCGCGCUACACUGAUGUGUCCAGUAAGCACCUAACCUCUUCCGAAAGGAACGGGUAACCUUUGCAAAGCACAUCGUGAUGGGGAUAGGUUAUUGCAAUUAUUAGUCUUGAACGAGGAAUUCCUAGUAAGCACAAGUCAUCAGCUUGUGUUGAUUACGUCCCUGCCCUUUGUACACACCGCCCGUCGCUCCUACCGAUUGAAUGUUCCGGUGAGCUCUUCGGACUGCGCGGUCUGCAGUUUCUGCGUUCCGUGCGGAAAGUUGCGCAAACCUUAACAUUUAGAGGAAGGAGAAGUCGUAACA
RNAcentral lists this ribosomal RNA (324 nucleotides) under uncultured eukaryote. RNAcentral describes it as "partial 18S ribosomal RNA". It matches the Rfam family "Eukaryotic small subunit ribosomal RNA", at positions 1470 to 1796 of the family's 1831-position model. The record is from RNAcentral.